Molecule: long non-coding RNA, 2029 nt
Organism: Gasterosteus aculeatus aculeatus (three-spined stickleback)
Lineage: Eukaryota; Metazoa; Chordata; Actinopteri; Perciformes; Gasterosteidae
Source: Ensembl
AAUGAUCUAUGUGUACAUCGAAAUAUUAAUAUGUCUAUGUCAACAAUUAAAUAUUAGUGUGUCUUUGUGUACAGUCACUUCGUCUCUUGUCUGUUACUUGUUCGUUAGUGCACUUUAUGCUUAAUAUUUUUCUUUUUAACUUUUUAAUAUUUACAUUUUUUUAACUUUAUUCCCUUGUUUUAUACGAACCCAUAGCCUUAGCCUUAUUCUACUAACCCAUUGCAUUAGCAUUUCAUUCCACUUUAUUUUAUUACUUGUGCACUGUUGUCCUGUCUGUCUACUGUCGCGCACUAACCGCCAAGACAAAUUCCUUUUAUGUUUGAGAUAUUUUGGCUAAUAAAUGUUUCCUGAUUCCUGAAUCCUACAUCUAAAUAUUAGUUUGUCUCUGAGUAUGUGUGUGUGUGUGUGUUGUGCGCUUAUCUGAGUCAUGCGUAGAUCUGGCGCUGCUCCUGAGGGGGCGACUCUCAGCACAUCCUGAUGGCGUGGCAUCCUGAUGGCGUCCUGAUGGCGUGACGUCCUGAUGGCGUCCUGAUGGCGUGACGUCCUGAUGGCUUCCUGAUGACGUCCUGUUGGUCUGCAGAGACAAGGAGAAGAGACGUGAGGAGGAUCAUCAGGAUACUCCUGAGGCGUGACGAUCGCUUUCUGCAGUUUUCUGUCCGGAAAACUUCAGUGUGUGCAGAUGUGAGGUUUGAAACUAACUGACUAAAUGUGCCUCAGACUGUGUUUCUUAUACUGUGGGGAAUGGAGCAUAGAACACGGAACAUGGAGCACAGAACACGGAACAUGGAACAUAGAACACGGAACAUGGAGCAUGGAACAUGGAGCAUGGAAUUUGGAACACGGACAUGGAACAUGGAGAAAUCCUGAUGUCACCUGUCUAUGUUUACAGUGAAGGACUCAAGUGCAGAUGAUGCUCGGAGGGACCUGGAGCAAAUCACCAUGGCAAUAUUUGUUGUCUUUCGGAAAGAGGGGAAAGGACUGCAGGAGCCACCUGAAGACAUUAGCAUCGUCAUUGAGGGUGUGGAGGUGUUGCAUCAACUGUCAAAAGCUGUCCGUUUCAGCUUGUGCCCUGCUUCUGGGAUUGAUACUCAACCUCUCUUACCCAAAACCACUUCAUUUCACUUUUAAAGUGCUCCAGAAGAUAAUCAUGGAGCUUGAUCAGCAGAAGAUGUCCCCCAAGGUCCAUAAUCUGUAUGGCAGACUUCAAACACAAUAGUGUUUCGAUAUGGGGCAUUUCACUAUUCAGCCCCUUUGGAUGUUGGGCCUUUGUUAGCUCCAAGAUAAAAAUGUUAAGAUACAAUGUUGUUUUAUAUAUAUUAUCACUUGAUUGUAUACAAAUGCUUCUAUCAUACAUAUGAUUUUUGGGGAAAAAGUUCAAUUUCUGUCAGGUGUUCCCAAACAUUGUUACAUAUCAGAAGGCCAAAUGUGACUUGGCAUGGUUAUGCAUUUUGUGCAUAUUUAUGUUAAAAAAAACACUGGAAACAAAUACAAGCAAUACAUUUUGAAAGCCAUCAAAUUUGACUCUGUCAUUUUUCUUUUAGCCAACUUAAAAUUGGCCAAAAGUACAAUUUUACACCAAGGAUACUACAAAAAUUAGCUUUUAUGAAACCAUACUUUUAGGUUGUAAAGACGCAGUAUUUUACUUUUGGGUAAAGUAAAUAUUUGAGUUGGAAAAACUGUAAACUUUAGGUUGACUUGUUUUGAUUUUGAGUUAAAGUAAUGCAAAAUAUUGAUUUGAAACACAUCGAAUUAUUACAUCCAUCUGACUAAAAUCAAUUGUGUUAAUAGAACUUGUUAACUUCAUUUGGAAAAACCUAAUUCAUUCGUGUGUUACCAAUUCAAAUAGUUCAAUUAAGUUGGUUCAACUAUUUGCUUUUUUCAGUGUACCAAAAAACAUGGGCAUUAUAGUCUUUGGCACUGCGUUUAUUAGAGGCUGUUUAAGCCACAGAUUAUUGUACACAAGGUGGCUUCUGCAGGGGUCCUGUUUAGAGAGAACUGAAGAGGGGGAACACUUCACACCAGGCACGUG